Molecule: unclassified non-coding RNA, 225 nt
Filed under: Hevea brasiliensis (rubber tree)
Lineage: Eukaryota; Viridiplantae; Streptophyta; Magnoliopsida; Malpighiales; Euphorbiaceae
Source: RNAcentral
GUAAUUGUUGAAGUACCCCCAGCAGGCAAGGACAUGAAUGGAGCACCUGUUCUGGAAUCUGAGAUUGUAAAUGAUGUUACACUUUCUGAUCAUAGGAUUUUGGCUGGAAGGAAGAGGAGAGCUACCAACAUUACUCAUCCUGAUUCCCUAGGACAACUGGAGUUGGAAAAUAACAAUAAGAAACAAAGACAACAAGAAAUUUCUAGGGACCCUACGGAAGAUGAU